GACGAACGCUGGCGGCGUGCUUAACACAUGCAAGUCGAACGGACAGACGCUGAGCUUGUGCGGUUCUCGAUUGCCGAACGGGGGUGUAAAACGUGAGUAACCUCCCCUUGUCUUUGGGAUAACUUCUGGGGACUGGGGCUAAUACCCGAUAGGAUCUCCUGCAGCAUGUUGGUGGUUGGUAAGUUUCGGCGGUUGUGGAUGGACUAGCUGGUUAUCAGCUUGUUUGGGGAGUAGUGGCUUACCAAGGCUUGCAAGGGUAGCCGGCCUAGGAGGGUGACCGGCCACACUGGGACUGAGAGACGGCACAGACUCGUAAGGGAGGCAGCAGUGGGGGAUAGUGAAGAAGGGGCGGAAGCCGGAUGAAGCAACGCUGCGUGUGGGAUGACGGCCUUCGGGGUGUAAACCGAUUUCGCCUGUGACGAAGCGUGAGUGACGGUAAUCGGUACAGAAGCACAGGCUAACUAAGUG
This 468-nucleotide ribosomal RNA is filed under the name uncultured bacterium. RNAcentral describes it as "partial 16S ribosomal RNA". It matches the Rfam family "Bacterial small subunit ribosomal RNA", at positions 28 to 507 of the family's 1533-position model. The record is from RNAcentral.